This 292-nucleotide ribosomal RNA is filed under the name uncultured bacterium. Its description in RNAcentral is "partial 16S ribosomal RNA". It matches the Rfam family "Bacterial small subunit ribosomal RNA", at positions 505 to 796 of the family's 1533-position model. The record is from RNAcentral.
GUGCCAGCCGCCGCGGUAAGACGUAGGGCGCGAGCGUUGUCCGGAUUUAUUGGGCGUAAAGAGCUCGUAGGCGGCUUGUUGCGUCGGCUGUGAAAUCCCAUGGCUCAACUGUGGGCUUGCAGCCGAUACGGGCGGGCUAGAGUUCGGUAGGGGAGACUGGAAUUCCUGGUGUAGCGGUGAAAUGCGCAGAUAUCAGGAGGAACACCGGUGGCGAAGGCGGGUCUCUGGGCCGAUACUGACGCUGAGGAGCGAAAGCGUGGGGAGCGAACAGGAUUAGAAACCCGAGUAGUCC